CCUACGGGAGGCAGCAGUGAGGAAUAUUGGUCAAUGGACGAGAGUCUGAACCAGCCAAGUAGCGUGAAUGAUGACUGCCCUAUGGGUUGUAAACUUCUUUUAUAUGGGAAUAAAACGUUCCACGUGUGGGAUUUUGUAUGUACCAUAUGAAUAAGGAUCGGCUAACUCCGUGCCAGCAGCCGCGGUAAUACGGAGGAUCCGAGCGUUAUCCGGAUUUAUUGGGUUUAAAGGGAGCGUAGGUGGAUUGUUAAGUCAGUUGUGAAAGUUUGCGGCUCAACCGUAAAAUUGCAGUUGAAACUGGCAGUCUUGAGUACAGUAGAGGUGGGCGGAAUUCGUGGUGUAGCGGUGAAAUGCUUAGAUAUCACGAAGAACUCCGAUUGCGAAGGCAGUUCACUGGACUGCAACUGACACUGAGGCUCGAAAGUGUGGGUAUCAAACAGGAUUAGAUACCCCAGUAGUC
Molecule: ribosomal RNA, 460 nt
Filed under: uncultured bacterium
Lineage: Bacteria
Description: partial 16S ribosomal RNA
Rfam family: Bacterial small subunit ribosomal RNA
Source: RNAcentral